AGACCCGAAACCCGGUGAUCUAGCCAUGGGCAGGUUGAAGGUUGGGUAACACUAACUGGAGGACCGAACCGACUAAUGUUGAAAAAUUAGCGGAUGACCUGUGGCUGGGGGUGAAAGGCCAAUCAAACCGGGAGAUAGCUGGUUCUCCCCGAAAGCUAUUUAGGUAGCGCCUCGUGAAUUCAUCUCCGGGGGUAGAGCACUGUUUCGGCUAGGGGGCCAUCCCGGCUUACCAACCCGAUGCAAACUGCGAAUACCGGAGAAUGUUAUCACGGGAGACACACGGCGGGUGCUAACGUCCGUCGUGAAGAGGGAAACAACCCAGACCGCCAGCUAAGGUCCCAAAGUCAUGGUUAAGUGGGAAACGAUGUGGGAAGGCCCAGACAGCCAGGAUGUUGGCUUAGAAGCAGCCAUCAUUUAAAGAAAGCGUAAUAGCUCACUGGUCGAGUCGGCCUGCGCGGAAGAUGUAACGGGGCUAAACCAUGCACCGAAGCUGCGGCAGCGACACUGUGUGUUGUUGGGUAGGGGAGCGUUCUGUAAGCCUGCGAAGGUGGCCUGUGAGGGUUGCUGGAGGUAUCAGAAGUGCGAAUGCUGACAUAAGUAACGAUAAAGCGGGUGAAAAGCCCGCUCGCCGGAAGACCAAGGGUUCCUGUCCAACGUUAAUCGGGGCAGGGUGAGUCGACCCCUAAGGCGAGGCCGAAAGGCGUAGUCGAUGGGAAACGGGUUAAUAUUCCCGUACUUGGUGUUACUGCGAAGGGGGGACGGAGAAGGCUAUGUUGGCCGGGCGACGGUUGUCCCGGUUUAAGCGUGUAGGUGUGUGUUCCAGGUAAAUCCGGUUCACUUUAACACUGAGGCGUGACGACGAGGCACUACGGUGCUGAAGCAACAAAUGCCCUGCUUCCAGGAAAAGCCUCUAAGCAUCAGGUAACAUCAAAUCGUACCCCAAACCGACACAGGUGGUCAGGUAGAGAAUACCAAGGCGCUUGAGAGAACUCGGGUGAAGGAACUAGGCAAAAUGGUGCCGUAACUUCGGGAGAAGGCACGCUGACACGUAGGUGAAGUGAUUUACUCAUGGAGCUGAAGUCAGUCGAAGAUACCAGCUGGCUGCAACUGUUUAUUAAAAACACAGCACUGUGCAAACACGAAAGUGGACGUAUACGGUGUGACGCCUGCCCGGUGCCGGAAGGUUAAUUGAUGGGGUCAGCGCAAGCGAAGCUCCUGAUCGAAGCCCCGGUAAACGGCGGCCGUAACUAUAACGGUCCUAAGGUAGCGAAAUUCCUUGUCGGGUAAGUUCCGACCUGCACGAAUGGCGUAAUGAUGGCCAGGCUGUCUCCACCCGAGACUCAGUGAAAUUGAACUCGCUGUGAAGAUGCAGUGUACCCGCGGCAAGACGGAAAGACCCCGUGAACCUUUACUAUAGCUUGACACUGAACAUUGAGCCUUGAUGUGUAGGAUAGGUGGGAGGCUUUGAAGUGUGGACGCCAGUCUGCAUGGAGCCGACCUUGAAAUACCACCCUUUAAUGUUUGAUGUUCUAACGUGGACCCGUUACCCGGGUUGCGGACAGUGUCUGGUGGGUAGUUUGACUGGGGCGGUCUCCUCCUAAAGAGUAACGGAGGAGCACGAAGGUUGGCUAAUCCUGGUCGGACAUCAGGAGGUUAGUGCAAUGGCAUAAGCCAGCUUGACUGCGAGCGUGACGGCGCGAGCAGGUGCGAAAGCAGGUCAUAGUGAUCCGGUGGUUCUGAAUGGAAGGGCCAUCGCUCAACGGAUAAAAGGUACUCCGGGGAUAACAGGCUGAUACCGCCCAAGAGUUCAUAUCGACGGCGGUGUUUGGCACCUCGAUGUCGGCUCAUCACAUCCUGGGGCUGAAGUAGGUCCCAAGGGUAUGGCUGUUCGCCAUUUAAAGUGGUACGCGAGCUGGGUUUAGAACGUCGUGAGACAGUUCGGUCCCUAUCUGCCGUGGGCGCUGGAGAACUGAGGGGGGCUGCUCCUAGUACGAGAGGACCGGAGUGGACGCAUCACUGGUGUUCGGGUUGUCAUGCCAAUGGCACUGCCCGGUAGCUAAAUGCGGAAGAGAUAAGUGCUGAAAGCAUCUAAGCACGAAACUUGCCCCGAGAUGAGUUCUCCCUGAGACUUAGAGUCUCCUGAAGGAACGUUGAAGACGACGACGUUGAUAGGCCGGGUGUGUAAGCGCAGCGAUGCGUUGAGCUAACCGGUACUAAUGAACCGUGAGGCUUAACCUUACAACGCCGAAG
RNAcentral lists this ribosomal RNA (2250 nucleotides) under Salmonella enterica. Its description in RNAcentral is "bacterial LSU rRNA". It matches the Rfam family "Bacterial large subunit ribosomal RNA", at positions 711 to 2925 of the family's 2925-position model. The record is from RNAcentral. RNAcentral also lists the same sequence under 1 other name. Lineage: Bacteria; Pseudomonadati; Pseudomonadota; Gammaproteobacteria; Enterobacterales; Enterobacteriaceae.